Molecule: ribosomal RNA, 161 nt
Filed under: uncultured soil bacterium
Lineage: Bacteria
Description: partial 16S ribosomal RNA
Rfam family: Bacterial small subunit ribosomal RNA
Source: RNAcentral
AGAGUGAACGCUGGCGGUAGGCCUAACACAUGCAAGUCGAACGGCAGCACGGUAAGAGCUUGCUCUUAUGGGUGGCGAGUGGCGGACGGGUGAGGAAUACAUCGGAAUCUACCGUUUUGGUGGGGGAUAACGUAGGGAAACUUACGCUAAUACCGCAUACG